GAAUAUAUCGUCUAAUGGUUAAGACUAUGGUCUUUUAAACCAUCUAUAUUGGUUCAAUUCCAAUUAUAUUCA
Molecule: transfer RNA, 72 nt
Filed under: Intestinozyma alai
Lineage: Eukaryota; Fungi; Ascomycota; Pichiomycetes; Serinales; Debaryomycetaceae
Description: Candida alai tRNA-Lys
Rfam family: tRNA
About the family: Transfer RNA (tRNA) molecules are approximately 80 nucleotides in length. Their secondary structure includes four short double-helical elements and three loops (D, anti-codon, and T loops). Further hydrogen bonds mediate the characteristic L-shaped molecular structure. tRNAs have two regions of fundamental functional importance: the anti-codon, which is responsible for specific mRNA codon recognition, and the 3' end, to which the tRNAs corresponding amino acid is attached (by aminoacyl-tRNA synthetases). tRNAs cope with the degeneracy of the genetic code in two manners: having more than one tRNA (with a specific anti-codon) for a particular amino acid; and 'wobble' base-pairing, i.e. permitting non-standard base-pairing at the 3rd anti-codon position.
Source: RNAcentral